UCCGUUUUGUCAACGGCAGUCUCUCUAGAGUGCUCGGCCGAACCGCUAGCAACUAAAGAUAAGGGUUGCGCUCGUUGCGGGACUUAACCCAACAUCUCACGACACGAGCUGACGACAGCCAUGCAGCACCUUGCACUCUGCCUAGGUUUCCCUAAGAGGCCCCAUCUCUGGGGUUGUCAGAGGCAUUCUAGCCCUGGUAAGGUUCUUCGCGUUGCGUCGAAUUGAACCACAUGCUCCACCGCUUGUGCGGGUCCCCGUCAAUUCCUUUGAGUUUUAAUCUUGCGACCGUACUCCCCAGGCGGAUGACUUCACGCGUUAGCUGCGGUACUAAGGAAGUCUCCUUCCCCAACACCUAGUCGACAUCGUUUAGGGCGUGGACUAC
Molecule: unclassified non-coding RNA, 382 nt
Filed under: uncultured Acidobacteriota bacterium
Lineage: Bacteria; Pseudomonadati; Acidobacteriota
Description: uncultured Acidobacteria bacterium contains 16S-23S intergenic spacer region
Source: RNAcentral